GAAGCUUGCUUCAAUUGAUGGCGACCGGCGCACGAGUGAGUAACACGUAUCCCACCUUCCGCUGACUCGGGGAUAGCCUUUCGAAAGAAAGAUUAAUACCCGAUGGCAAAGGACUUCCGCAUGGAUAUCCUUUUAAAGGAUUCCGGUCAGCGAUGGGGAUGCGUUCCAUUAGAUAGUUGGCGGGGUAACGGCCCACCAAGUCGACGAUGGAUAGGGGUUCUGAGAGGAAGGUCCCCCACAUUGGAACUGAGACACGGUCCAAACUCCUACGGGAGGCAGCAGUGAGGAAUAUUGGUCAAUGGGCGAGAGCCUGAACCAGCCAAGUAGCGUGAAGGAAGACUGCCCUAUGGGUUGUAAACUUCUUUUAUACGGGAAUAAAGUCAUCCACGUGUGGAUGUUUGUAUGUACCGUAUGAAUAAGGAUCGGCUAACUCCGUGCCAGCAGCCGCGGUAAUACGGAGGAUCCGAGCGUUAUCCGGAUUUAUUGGGUUUAAAGGGAGCGUAGGCGGGCUUUUAAGUCAGUUGUGAAAGUUUGCGGCUCAACCGUAAAAUUGCAGUUGAUACUGGAAGCCUUGAGUACAGUAUAGGCAGGCGGAAUUCGUGGUGUAGCGGUGAAAUGCUUAGAUAUCACGAAGAACUCCGAUUGCGAAGGCAGCUUGCUGGACUGUAACUGACGCUGAUGCUCGAAAGUGUGGGUAUCAAACAGGAUUAGAUACCCUGGUAGUCCACACAGUAAACGAUGGACACUCGCUGUUGGCGAUAUACGGUCAGCGGCUUAGCGAAAGCGUUAAGUGUCCCACCUGGGGAGUACGCCGGCAACGGUGAAACUCAAAGGAAUUGACGGGGGCCCGCACAAGCGGAGGAACAUGUGGUUUAAUUCG
This 880-nucleotide ribosomal RNA is filed under the name uncultured Bacteroidaceae bacterium. Its description in RNAcentral is "bacterial SSU rRNA". It matches the Rfam family "Bacterial small subunit ribosomal RNA", at positions 75 to 953 of the family's 1533-position model. The record is from RNAcentral. Lineage: Bacteria; Pseudomonadati; Bacteroidota; Bacteroidia; Bacteroidales; Bacteroidaceae.